CUACGGGGCGCUGCAGUGGGGAAUAUUGCACAAUGGGCGCAAGCCUGAUGCAGCCAUGCCGCGUGUAUGAAGAAGGCCUUCGGGUUGUAACGUACUUUCAGCGGGGAGGAAGGGAGUAAAGUUAAUACCUUUGCUCAUUGACGUUACCCGCAGAAGAAGCACCGGCUAACUCCGUGCCAGCAGGCCGCGGUAAUACGGAGGGUGCAAGCGUUAAUCGGAAUUACUGGGCGUAAAGCGCACGCAGGCGGUUUGCUAAGUCAGAUGUGAAAUCCCCGGGCUCAACCUGGGAACUGCAUCUGAUACUGGCAAGCUUGAGUCUCGUAGAGGGGGGUAGAAUUCCAGGUGUAGCGGUGAAAUGCGUAGAGAUCUGGAGGAAUACCGGUGGCGAAGGCGGCCCCCUGGACGAAGACUGACGCUCAGGUGCGAAAGCGUGGGGAGCAAACAGGAUUAGAUACCCCCGUAGUC
RNAcentral lists this ribosomal RNA (465 nucleotides) under uncultured bacterium. Its description in RNAcentral is "partial 16S ribosomal RNA". It matches the Rfam family "Bacterial small subunit ribosomal RNA", at positions 339 to 795 of the family's 1533-position model. The record is from RNAcentral.